This 254-nucleotide ribosomal RNA is filed under the name uncultured bacterium. Its description in RNAcentral is "partial 16S ribosomal RNA". It matches the Rfam family "Bacterial small subunit ribosomal RNA", at positions 524 to 776 of the family's 1533-position model. The record is from RNAcentral.
UACGUAGGGUGCAAGCGUUGUCCGGAAUUAUUGGGCGUAAAGAGCUCGUAGGCGGUCUGUCGCGUCGGCUGUGAAAACCCGUGGCUCAACCAUGUGGUCUGCAGUCGAUACGGGCAGGCUAGAAUUCGGUAGGGGAGACUGGAAUUCCUGGUGUAGCGGUGAAAUGCGCAGAUAUCAGGAGGAACACCGGUGGCGAAGGCGGGUCUCUGGGCCGAUAUUGACGCUGAGGAGCGAAAGCGUGGGGAGCGAACAGG